GCCGUUGUAGCUCAGUUGGUAGAGCNNGGUAGAGCACAUCCAUGGUAAGGAUGGGGUCCGCGGUUCGAUCCCGCGCAACGGCUCCA
This 86-nucleotide transfer RNA is filed under the name Candidatus Jacksonbacteria bacterium. RNAcentral's name for it is "tRNA-Thr". The record is from RNAcentral. Lineage: Bacteria; Candidatus Jacksoniibacteriota.